Chenopodium quinoa (quinoa) is the source of this 1288-nucleotide long non-coding RNA. RefSeq lists it as uncharacterized. The record is from RefSeq and is a predicted model, not a curated record. The transcript is spliced from 3 exons. Lineage: Eukaryota; Viridiplantae; Streptophyta; Magnoliopsida; Caryophyllales; Amaranthaceae.
AUUAUGCUUAACAGAGUGUCUAAAGAAAAUUUCCUUUUUAGCCCAUUCUCUUGGUGGCUUGUUUGCUCGAUAUGCGGUAGCUGUCCUUUACACACCAAAUAACUUGGCUGAUGGAGAUCUAAAUGAUGCUUCAAUAGCAGGCCGCUCAACAAAGCAUGGUUUAAUUGCUGGAUUGGAACCUAUAAAUUUUAUUACACUAGCUAGUCCACAUCUUGGAGUAAGAGGGAGGAAUCAGGUACGUGAAGGCUGAAGGGAAGGAACCUGAAAUUAAAAAAAUAAAUAAAUAAAAAAAAAAACGAAUGGUUUCACAAUGCUGGUACUGGUGUUGUAAAACAUGUUGCUGACAGCCUGAAGCAGCAAGAAUCUUCAUAUCUCACGGCCAACUUAUAGCACUGGGAAUUGUCGAUGUAUGCAGUAACACGUGAGCUACGGUGCUAGUUUUUUAACGUCUUUUGAGCCUAAAAUGUACCUAUACUAAAGGCAGAGGCGACACGACUGUACACUGAUUCAUUCUUUAGGUCCAUUUGGGGAAAAUCUAUUCUGGGGUUCAGGGAAACGGUGGAUGGCAAAGGAUGCAGUCGCGUGGCAGAGAAGCAAUGGUAUAACUACGAUAACAACAGUUGUAGCAGUGGAUAUGCCUGUGGGCACUACACCCAAGUUGUGUGGAAGCAAACCAAAAUGGUUGGAUGCUCCAAAAUAAUAUGUGACAGCGGGAAUUCAUUCAUUACCUGCGAGCAUGGGCGGAGCCAUGUGAGGACAAGUGGGGACCAUUGUCCCCCCACUUUCAAAAAAAAAAUCAGAGAAUUUUUUUUUUUAAAAAAAAAACACAAAGAAAUUAAUCAGCAAGUACAUCACGUGGGCUAAAGAGAAAGAAGAAAAGAAAAAAAGGGAGGAAAGAGAAAAGUUUGAAUAUUGAAAAACCUAAGAGAGAGAAAGUAGAUCUUGCACCACCAAGUGACCAAGGCACCGCCCACCGAGGCAGCGACUGUUGGAAUUUCCACCGCCACUGCGCCCCUACAGUCCAGCCCCGCUGCUCCGGCAUACGGCAGCCCACACAGCAAGUUUUUUUUUUCUUCUAAUUUUUAUCUUAGAUUAUAAAAAAAAUUAAAGAAUUAGUUUAUGAGUAAUUGUGUUUAUGUAAUCAUGUUUUUGAAUUAAUUUGUGAUUUAGUUUAUUUGUUAUUAGUUUGUGAAUUGAAUUGUGAUUUUGUGAAUUAUUUGGUGAGUAUGGUGAAUGGAAGAUUGAAAUUUUGAAAGUAGACAAGUAGUUUGUGAUUUUGUGAAUUUAA